GGCUACACACGUGCUACAAUGGGUAGAACAGAGAGUUGCAAAGCCGUGAGGUGGAGCUAAUCUCAGAAAACUAUUCUUAGUUCGGAUUGUACUCCGCAACUCGAGUACAUGAAGUUGGAAUCGCUAGUAAUCGCGAAUCAGCAAUGUCGCGGUGAAUACGUUCUCGGGUCUUGUACACACCGCCCGUCACACCACGAGAGUUGGUUGCACCUGAAGUAGCAGGCCUAACCGUAAGGAGGGAUGCUCCGAGGGUGUGAUUAGCGAUUGGGGUGAAGUCGUAACAAGGUAUCCGUACGGGAACGU
RNAcentral lists this ribosomal RNA (303 nucleotides) under uncultured Fusobacterium sp. RNAcentral's name for it is "bacterial SSU rRNA". It matches the Rfam family "Bacterial small subunit ribosomal RNA", at positions 1212 to 1513 of the family's 1533-position model. The record is from RNAcentral. Lineage: Bacteria; Fusobacteriati; Fusobacteriota; Fusobacteriia; Fusobacteriales; Fusobacteriaceae.